RNAcentral lists this long non-coding RNA (316 nucleotides) under Elaeis guineensis (African oil palm). RNAcentral's name for it is "long non-coding RNA (EGUI_LNC000872)". Lineage: Eukaryota; Viridiplantae; Streptophyta; Magnoliopsida; Arecales; Arecaceae. The record is from RNAcentral.
CACCAAUCUCACUCUGAUCAGUAUAAGAACCCCGACACAUAGCUCUGCACAUGCAAGUUAGUACUGCACUGCCCCAACUGAGUCUACGAGCGAAGUCUAAAUCUUCUAAUAAUAGCAAAAACAUCAAUUUCAUUUUAUUUGAUGAAGUAUCGGAUAACAGGACAUCACCUAACAACCGCAGCACCUGACCUCUAACAUACUGCUGCAUCAUCUCUUUUGGUGCAUCAUCCUCAAUAUAAAAAUAUCGAUAACGAUCAUCCAAACACUCAAUCCUGAGUUGUGAAUGAUCGAAAAACUAGACGUCGGGCUCAAACCC